RNAcentral lists this unclassified non-coding RNA (325 nucleotides) under Hevea brasiliensis (rubber tree). The record is from RNAcentral. Lineage: Eukaryota; Viridiplantae; Streptophyta; Magnoliopsida; Malpighiales; Euphorbiaceae.
ACGGUUCCCUUGCUUCGAUUUUGAUGAGAGCUGCUUAACAGCAAUUAUUGCACCAUCUGACAGCACUCCCUUGUACACUGGCCCAAAUCCUCCCUCUCCAAUCUUAUUUACUGCGUCAAAAUUGUUGGUAGCAUGUUUAAUUUGUCUUAGAGUGAAAUAACCAGUCUGGAGAUCUAGUCCACGAAGUUCUUUAUCUUCAAGGUCCUUCCCUCCUAAAUAAAUCGGAGGACUAUCAAGAUCAGCACAACAACCAGACAUGAAGCAGCUACAAUGCCAAUAAUAGCUCCAACCGGCAACCCUCCUCCAUCAUCAACCUUGAAGUUUG